RNAcentral lists this ribosomal RNA (468 nucleotides) under uncultured bacterium. RNAcentral's name for it is "partial 16S ribosomal RNA". It matches the Rfam family "Bacterial small subunit ribosomal RNA", at positions 28 to 507 of the family's 1533-position model. The record is from RNAcentral.
GACGAACGCUGGCGGCGUGCUUAACACAUGCAAGUCGAACGGAAAGGCCCUGCUUUUGUGGGGUGCUCGAGUGGCGAACGGGUGAGUAACACGUGAGUAACCUGCCCUUGACUUUGGGAUAACUUCAGGAAACUGGGGCUAAUACCGGAUAGGAGCUCCUGCUGCAUGGUGGGGGUUGGAAAGUUUCGGCGGUUGGGGAUGGACUCGCGGCUUAUCAGCUUGUUGGUGGGGUAGUGGCUCACCAAGGCUUUGACGGGUAGCCGGCCUGAGAGGGUGACCGGCCACAUUGGGACUGAGAUACGGCCCAGACUCCUACGGGAGGCAGCAGUGGGGAAUAUUGCACAAUGGGCGGAAGCCUGAUGCAGCAACGCCGCGUGCGGGAUGACGGCCUUCGGGUUGUAAACCGCUUUCGCCUGUGACGAAGCGUGAGUGAUGGUAAUGGGUAAAGAAGCACCGGCUAACUACGUG